This 468-nucleotide ribosomal RNA is filed under the name uncultured bacterium. RNAcentral's name for it is "partial 16S ribosomal RNA". It matches the Rfam family "Bacterial small subunit ribosomal RNA", at positions 28 to 507 of the family's 1533-position model. The record is from RNAcentral.
GACGAACGCUGGCGGCGUGCUUAACACAUGCAAGUCGAACGGAAAGGCCCUGCUUUUGUGGGUGGCUCGAGUGGCGAACGGGUGAGUAACACGUGAGUAACCUGCCCUUGACUUUGGGAUAACUUCAGGAAACUGGGGCUAAUACCGGAUAGGAGCUCCUGCUGCAUGGUGGGGGUUGGAAAGUUUCGGCGGUUGGGGAUGGACUCGCGGCUUAUCAGCUUGUUGGUGGGGUAGUGGCUUACCAAGGCUUUGACGGGUAGCCGGCCUGAGAGGGUGACCGGCCACAUUGGGACUGAGAUACGGCCCAGACUCCUACGGGAGGCAGCAGUGGGGAAUAUUGCACAAGGGGCGGAAGCCUGAUGCAGCAACGCCGCGUGUGGGAUGACGGCCUUCGGGUUGUAAACCGCUUUCGCCUGUGACGAAGCGUGAGUGAGGGUAAUGGGUAAAGAAGCACCGGCUAGCUACGUG